GCGAGUGAAGCGGCAAAAGCUCAAAUUUGAAAUCUAGCACUUUCAGUGUUCGAGUUGUAAUUUGAAGAAGGUAACUUUGGAAUUGGCUCUUGUCUAUGUUCCUUGGAACAGGACGUCACAGAGGGUGAGAAUCCCGUGCGAUGAGAUGUCCAAUUCUAUGUAAAGUGCUUUCGAAGAGUCGAGUUGUUUGGGAAUGCAGCUCUAAGUGGGUGGUAAAUUCCAUCUAAAGCUAAAUAUUGGCGAGAGACCGAUAGCGAACAAGUACAGUGAUGGAAAGAUGAAAAGAACUUUGAAAAGAGAGUGAAAAAGUACGUGAAAUUGUUGAAAGGGAAGGGCUUGAGAUCAGACUUGGUAUUUUGUGUUCCUUAUCCUUCUUGGAUUAGGUUCCUCACAGCUUACCGGGCCAGCAUCGGUUUGGAUGGCAGGAUAAUGACAUUGGAAUGUAGCUUUGCUUCGGUGAAGUGUUAUAGACUUUGUUGAUACUGCCUAUCUAGACCGAGGACUGCGUCUUUGACUAGGAUGCUGGCGUAAUGAUCUUAAGCCGCCC
Molecule: ribosomal RNA, 547 nt
Filed under: Dujonia railenensis
Lineage: Eukaryota; Fungi; Ascomycota; Pichiomycetes; Serinales; Debaryomycetaceae
Description: eukaryotic LSU rRNA
Rfam family: Eukaryotic large subunit ribosomal RNA
Source: RNAcentral